Cyanistes caeruleus (blue tit) is the source of this 703-nucleotide long non-coding RNA. RefSeq lists it as uncharacterized. The record is from RefSeq and is a predicted model, not a curated record. Lineage: Eukaryota; Metazoa; Chordata; Aves; Passeriformes; Paridae.
UGUGAGGAUGGGGAGCUGCCGCUGCAUCCCCUGCUUUGGAGCUGUCAGAGGCACCGCUGAGCGCUCCAGGUGGGAUCCACGCCAAGCAUCCUCCGGGACGGGCAGGGAUGGAGCUCUGGCCGGGUGGGGACCAGGCAGAGCAGCCCAAGCAGCCAGAAUUCAGACCACUUCACAAUUGUCUGCACUUCCUUUGGGAAGAAACUUCAUUUCCAGAGAGGGAAAAGAAGAUUCUAAUCACUAUGCUCACCUUGGAGUGCUGAGGAUAUUUCCAAUCACCUGAGCCACUGGAAACAUUUGGCAACUUGAAAAUCAAGGCUGGUGGCCUGGGGUGGAUUCCAUAGUGUGUGGAAAGAUCAGGGUCCAGUGAAAGUCUUUUCCAGCCUGAAGAGUUCUGAGAUUCUAUAAAUGCAUGUGGGACUCAGCUGCCCCUGGCUAACCACAGCUCUCUGAAACUUUCAUCAAGGGCUGGUGCUACUGCAAAAUUUAGUGCCAAAGCCAACAGCAGGAAUUGUGGGGUCACUGGGGUGGAUGGGCACCUGCUGACAGGGAGGGGGUGCUUAAUCCUAAAGCUUUUUCCAUGGGGCACCUUUGGAUAUGUGACAGCUACAGAGAGAACCUGUAUUACAUUACAGUAAUGUAAUUUAUAUUGUAUUCAACCAAUAAAAGAGAUAUAAGAAUAAGAAACUCUACAAAUGAACAUUAA